CCGUGAGGGAAAGAUGAAAAGCACUUUGAAAAGAGAGUUAAACAGUACGUGAAACCGUUAAAGGGGAAACGGAUGGGGUCAGCAGUGCGCUCCGCGAGAUUCAGCCGGUUGGCACGUCGGGCGGGCGGUUAGCGGAUCUGAAUGGACCGCGGCCGUUCGGUUCGACGGGCGGACCGUCGCACUUCUCGCGAGCGCGCGCCAGCGUCGGUUGUCGCCGGGCGUCAAAGUCGCGGGCAAGGUGGGCCGCCCCCCUCGGGAGGUGGCUGUUAUAGGCCCGUGUCGCAUGGCCCGGUGGCGACCGAGGAGUCGCGGCGUGUGCCUCCCCUCACGGGGUUGGCUGGGGUCCCGUCUCGCCGGGCGGCGGUAGAACGUGGUGGACUGCGUGCAGUGCGCCGCGACAGCCGCCGUUCGUCGGGACGGUGACUUUGCACCACGCGCCAAGGACGCUGGCGGUCAAAUGGCCUCAUUCGACCCGUCUUGAAACACGGACCAAGGAGUCUAACAUGUGCGCGAGUCUUCGAGUGAAGGAAGCUCGCGGGCGCAAUGAAAGUGAAGGUGGCCUUGUGUCGCCGAGGCGGGAGCUCGUCCCCUCGCGGGGCGGGUGCACCGUCGACCGACCUAUUCCGCUCUCGGGAAGGUUUGAGUGGGAGCGCACCUGUUGGGACCCGAAAGAUGGUGAACUAUGCUUGAAUAGGGUGAAGCCAGAGGAAACACUGGUGGAA
RNAcentral lists this ribosomal RNA (722 nucleotides) under Peronanthus sp. RB-19-103. RNAcentral's name for it is "partial 28S ribosomal RNA". It matches the Rfam family "Eukaryotic large subunit ribosomal RNA", at positions 351 to 872 of the family's 3401-position model. The record is from RNAcentral. Lineage: Eukaryota; Metazoa; Cnidaria; Anthozoa; Actiniaria; Actinostolidae.